UGGGAGGAGACAAAAUAAUUCAAGACUCUCUUAAAAUUAGUUAUAUUUUAAUUUAGUAGUUUAGAAUUAAUCAAAUUGUAAUUUAGUGGUUAAGACUUUUUAGACCAACUUUUGUAAUUUGGGCCAAUUUUUGGUAGUGUAGACUAAGNCCAAUUGUAGAAUAGGAUGAUUUGGCACUUUAGGAUUUUUUUAGGGUGGACCCCACCCAUUUUUCAUGACACACACUAGGCCCUAGGGAUUGCAGCCGUCACUUUUUUGGCUGCAUUCACUCUCGGCAG
Molecule: long non-coding RNA, 278 nt
Filed under: Vigna radiata
Lineage: Eukaryota; Viridiplantae; Streptophyta; Magnoliopsida; Fabales; Fabaceae
Description: long non-coding RNA (VRAD_LNC008196)
Source: RNAcentral